RNAcentral lists this ribosomal RNA (741 nucleotides) under Vibrio parahaemolyticus. RNAcentral describes it as "partial 23S ribosomal RNA". It matches the Rfam family "Bacterial large subunit ribosomal RNA", at positions 2200 to 2925 of the family's 2925-position model. Lineage: Bacteria; Pseudomonadati; Pseudomonadota; Gammaproteobacteria; Vibrionales; Vibrionaceae. The record is from RNAcentral.
CCACCCUUGUAGUGUUGAUGUUCUAACGUCGACCCCUUAUCGGGGUUGCGGACAGUGCCUGGUGGGUAGUUUGACUGGGGCGGUCUCCUCCCAAAGAGUAACGGAGGAGCACGAAGGUGGGCUAAUCACGGUUGGACAUCGUGAGGUUAGUGCAAUGGCAUAAGCCCGCUUGACUGCGAGAAUGACAAUUCGAGCAGGUGCGAAAGCAGGUCAUAGUGAUCCGGUGGUUCUGAAUGGAAGGGCCAUCGCUCAACGGAUAAAAGGUACUCCGGGGAUAACAGGCUGAUACCGCCCAAGAGUUCAUAUCGACGGCGGUGUUUGGCACCUCGAUGUCGGCUCAUCACAUCCUGGGGCUGAAGUCGGUCCCAAGGGUAUGGCUGUUCGCCAUUUAAAGUGGUACGCGAGCUGGGUUUAGAACGUCGUGAGACAGUUCGGUCCCUAUCUGCCGUGGGCGUUGGAAGAUUGAAGGGGGCUGCUCCUAGUACGAGAGGACCGGAGUGGACGAACCUCUGGUGUUCGGGUUGUGUCGCCAGACGCAUUGCCCGGUAGCUAAGUUCGGAAUCGAUAACCGCUGAAAGCAUCUAAGCGGGAAGCGAGCCCUGAGAUGAGUCUUCCCUGAUACUUUAAGUAUCCUAAAGGGUUGUCGGAGACUACGACGUUGAUAGGUCAGGUGUGUAAGUGCUGUGAGGCAUUGAGCUAACUGAUACUAAUUGCCCGUGAGGCUUAACCAUACAACACCCA